RNAcentral lists this long non-coding RNA (278 nucleotides) under Amphimedon queenslandica. Its description in RNAcentral is "uncharacterized LOC109586213". The record is from RNAcentral. Lineage: Eukaryota; Metazoa; Porifera; Demospongiae; Haplosclerida; Niphatidae.
AGGAAAGAUGUGCUCAUUCCAGUGUAUUGAUUAACACUAGCUCAGGACCACACCUACUAGUGGUAUGUGGAUAUGAUACUUCUGAUCUUGGGAUAUUUGAUAUUAAAAGUAAAUCAUGGGAGGAACUGUUUAAUAUACCAAAGAAUGUCACUGAUAGAAAGUACCAUUCUCUCUCAUUGUGGAGUGUGACUCCAACCACUAACUGGAUAAUUGUGUUUGGAGGAGUCACAUCAUACACUGAUACAGCAGUUAUUGAACUCAGAUAUACUAGUAAUAAU